GACGAACGCUGGCGGCGUGCUUAACACAUGCAAGUCGUACGGUAAGGCCCUUUCGGGGGUACACGAGUGGCGAACGGGUGAGUAACACGUGAGUAACCUGCCCACAACUUUGGGAUAACGCUAGGAAACUGGUGCUAAUACUGGAUAUGUGCCCCUGCUGCAUGGUGGGGGUUGGAAAGCUCCGGCGGUUGUGGAUGGACUCGCGGCCUAUCAGCUUGUUGGUGGGGUAGUGGCCUACCAAGGCGGCGACGGGUAGCCGGCCUGAGAGGGUGACCGGCCACAUUGGGACUGGGAUACGGCCCAGACUCCUACGGGAGGCAGCAGUGGGGAAUAUUGCACAAUGGGCGCAAGCCUGAUGCAGCAACGCCGCGUGCGGGAUGACGGCCCUCGGGUUGUAAACCGCUUUCAGCAGGGACGAAGCUUUUUGUGACGGUACCUGCAGAAGAAGCACCGGCUAACUACGUG
Molecule: ribosomal RNA, 465 nt
Filed under: uncultured bacterium
Lineage: Bacteria
Description: partial 16S ribosomal RNA
Rfam family: Bacterial small subunit ribosomal RNA
Source: RNAcentral